UACGUAGGUGGCAAGCGUUGUCCGGAAUUACUGGGUGUAAAGGGAGCGUAGGCGGGGAGACAAGUUGAAUGUUUAAACUAUCGGCUCAACUGAUAGUCGCGUUCAAAACUAUCACUCUUGAGUGCAGUAGAGGUAGGCGGAAUUCCUAGUGUAGCGGUGAAAUGCGUAGAUAUUAGGAGGAACACCAGUGGCGAAGGCGGCCUACUGGGCUGUAACUGACGCUGAGGCUCGAAAGCGUGGGUAGCAAACAGG
RNAcentral lists this ribosomal RNA (252 nucleotides) under Negativibacillus massiliensis. Its description in RNAcentral is "partial 16S ribosomal RNA". It matches the Rfam family "Bacterial small subunit ribosomal RNA", at positions 524 to 776 of the family's 1533-position model. Lineage: Bacteria; Bacillati; Bacillota. The record is from RNAcentral.